Molecule: ribosomal RNA, 301 nt
Filed under: uncultured bacterium
Lineage: Bacteria
Description: partial 16S ribosomal RNA
Rfam family: Bacterial small subunit ribosomal RNA
Source: RNAcentral
CAGUCGCCGCGGGAAAACGGAGGGUGCAAGCGUUAAUCGGAAUUACUGGGCGUAAAGCGCACGCAGGCGGUUUGUUAAGUCAGAUGUGAAAUCCCCGGGCUCAACCUGGGACCUGCAUUUGUGACUGUAUAGCUAGAGUACGGUAGAGGGGGAUGGAAUUCCGCGUGUAGCAGUGAAAUGUGUAGAUAUGCGGAGGAACACCGAUGGCGAAGGCAAUCCCCUGGACCUGUACUGACGCUCAUGCACGAAAGCGUGGGGAGCAAACAGGAUUAGAUACCCCCGUAGUCCCUGUCUCUUAUAC